Molecule: ribosomal RNA, 119 nt
Filed under: Pteropus alecto (black flying fox)
Lineage: Eukaryota; Metazoa; Chordata; Mammalia; Chiroptera; Pteropodidae
Source: RNAcentral
GUCUACGGCCAUGCCACCCUGAACAAGCCCGAUUCCAUCUGAUCCUGGAAACUAAGCAGGGUUGGGCCUGCUUAGUACUUAGAUGGGAGACCACCUAGGAAGCCCAGAUGCUGUAGGUG